GCUUGUCUCAAAGAUUAAGCCAUGCAUGUCUUAGUGUAAAUAACUCUUAUGAAACUGCGAAUGGCUCAUUAAAUCAGUUAUCAAAUACGUGAUGGUCGCCUACUACAUGGAUAACCGUAGUAAUUCUAGAGCUAAUACAUGCGUCAAUACCCUUCUGGGGUAGUAUUUAUUAGAUUGAAACCAACCGCUUCGGCGUGAUGUGGUGAUUCAUAAUAACUCCUCGAAUCGCAUGGCCUUGCGCCGGCGAUGUUUCAUUCAAAUUUCUGCCCUAUCAAUUUGAUGGUAGGAUAGAGGCCUACCAUGGUGGUAACGGGUGACGGAGAAUUAGGGUUCGAUUCCGGAGAGGGAGCCUGAGAAACGGCUACCACAUCCAAGGAAGGCAGCAGG
Molecule: ribosomal RNA, 387 nt
Filed under: uncultured fungus
Lineage: Eukaryota; Fungi
Description: partial small subunit ribosomal RNA
Rfam family: Eukaryotic small subunit ribosomal RNA
Source: RNAcentral